This 105-nucleotide microRNA precursor is filed under the name Caenorhabditis japonica. RNAcentral describes it as "pre miRNA CJA48867". It matches the Rfam family "mir-73 microRNA precursor family". Lineage: Eukaryota; Metazoa; Nematoda; Chromadorea; Rhabditida; Rhabditidae. The record is from RNAcentral.
UGUGAGCGGUCCAUCGAGCGACCGAACUUCCAUAUCGAGCCCAGCCCACUCGACCAAAUAAGACGCUGGCAAGAUGUUGGCAGUUCAGUCGCAAGAUUGUGACCA